UUAACGUUGGCGGCGUGCUUAAGACAUGCAAGUCGAACGGUAAGGCCCCUUCGGGGGUACACGAGUGGCGCACGGGUGAGUAACGCGUGGGUAACCUACCCUUGGGUCUGGGACAACUCCGGGAAACUGGAGCUAAUACCGGAUAAGACCACGAGGUCUUCGGGCCUCGCGGAAAAAGGUGGCCUCUUCUUGAAAGCUACCGCCCAUUGAUGAGCCCGCGUCCCAUUAGCUUGUUGGUGAGGUAACGGCUCACCAAGGCGACGAUGGGUAGCUGGUCUGAGAGGAUGAUCAGCCACACUGGAACUGAGACACGGUCCAGACUCCUACGGGAGGCAGCAGUCGGGAAUCUUGGGCAAUGGGGCAACCCUGACCCAGCAACGCCGCGUGAGGGAUGAAGGCCCUAGGGUCGUAAACCUCUGUCGGGAGGGAAGAAUUCGUUCGGGGGUGAACAACCCCCGGAGUUGACGGUACCUCCAAAGGAAGCGCCGGCUAACUCCGUG
Molecule: ribosomal RNA, 500 nt
Filed under: uncultured bacterium
Lineage: Bacteria
Description: bacterial SSU rRNA
Rfam family: Bacterial small subunit ribosomal RNA
Source: RNAcentral